CCUACGGGAGGCUGCAGUGGGGAAUAUUGGACAAUGGGGGCAACCCUGAUCCAGCCAUGCCGCGUGUGUGAAGAAGGCCCUCGGGUUGUAAAGCACUUUCAGUGAGGAAGAACGCCUGGUGGUUAAUACCCAUCAGGAAAGACAUCACUCACAGAAGAAGCACCGGCUAACUCCGUGCCAGCAGCCGCGGUAAUACGGAGGGUGCGAGCGUUAAUCGGAAUUACUGGGCGUAAAGCGCGCGUAGGUGGCUUGAUAAGCCGGUUGUGAAAGCCCCGGGCUCAACCUGGGAACGGCAUCCGGAACUGUCAAGCUAGAGUGCAGGAGAGGCAGGUAGAAUUCCGGUGUAGCGGUGAAAUGCGUAGAGAUCGGGAGGAAUACCAGUGGCGAAGGCGGCCUUCUGGACUGACACUGACACUGAGGUGCGAAAGCGUGGGUAGCAAACAGGAUUAGAUACCCUUGUAGUC
Molecule: ribosomal RNA, 464 nt
Filed under: Vreelandella stevensii
Lineage: Bacteria; Pseudomonadati; Pseudomonadota; Gammaproteobacteria; Oceanospirillales; Halomonadaceae
Description: partial 16S ribosomal RNA
Rfam family: Bacterial small subunit ribosomal RNA
Source: RNAcentral